GGGGGGCGCGGGGCGGGGACGGGAGCGGGGAGCGGGGAGCGGGGGGCUUGCCCUGCGGGCCACCUCCCGGCGGGCGCCGAGCCGCAGAGCCGCGGCCGCAGGGGCCUCAGGGUGCCGGUCGCCGCCCCCUCCGCCCGCGGUUCCCCGAGCCCGGGCAGGACCGAGCGGCGGGGCGCCGGCUGGACCCCGGUCCCGGCUGGGCGGGCUGCCCGACCGCGGACGGACGGACGGGGCGCGCUCCUCCGACCCGGAGCCGCGAGCUGCCGGGUCCCCACGGUCCCCUCCACCUCUUCCAAAUGCCUGGGGACUCCGCACUGCUACCUGCGAGGGGACCUGUGGGGGACCCCAGAAUAACGAGCCCUGCGGUGCUCCGUGGGUCUUACCUUCGGAGCGUCAGAGGAGGAAGAAAAGAGAGGGUCCUCGGAAACCCGCUGACAUCCCCGCUCCUUCUAGGAGCACUUGGGAUUGUUGCCAAAGAGGGCAGGAAGCCAAUCCACGGAAAUGUACUUAAACCUGUCUCUACCUUUUUUGUCUCUCUGACACACCCUGAUACCCAACCCCACCCACUCCACCGCAGCUCCCAAGGCACCAGACACACGCAAGUGGCUGAAUUCAGAAGACGAUCUCUUCCGAAAGGAAAGGCACCGUCUACAGAAAGGCAGGAGGAAGGACAGGACAUGACAAGAUAUUCUCCUCUUAGCACCUGCUUCCCACAGCCAGUAAUAGACCCUUGGAUGUCCCCAGUGAGCUUCUGCCGUUCCCUGCUCUAGAAGAGACUUGAAUGUCUUCUCUCUGAGUUCGAUGGUGUCAGAAGGCCUACAUGGCACUUUCCCUGCCUGCUUCCUUAUGAAGUGGUUCUCUUCGUCCAUGGGAGAGUGUGAUUUUCCUAAUGGAUCAGAUGCAGCAGGGCCAGGAGGACUGUGGAAUUAUUCUUGAUGCCCUUCUGAAUUCUCUAGGAGUGUGAAAGAUUCCUGUAGGGUGUUGGAAAUAAUUGAGAAGGAAGCAGGGGCGGAGAAUCCUAAAGAAGCCCUGGAGAAUUACAGUUACUUUUAAGAAGCUGAUAAAUUACUGAAUGCAAAAGAGUGAAUAAAGAGAAACAAGAAAAAGAAAAAAAAAAUCUCAAAAUCACUGGAGCUCCCCAUAACAAGCAGAAAAUUCCCAUGGAAUUGGUUAUUACAACUUCUAUAGUAGGCGCCUGAGAUCUGAGAGUUUGCCGAUUGCUCCUCAUUUUUGCGGAAUGACGAAAG
RNAcentral lists this long non-coding RNA (1247 nucleotides) under Equus asinus (donkey). RNAcentral's name for it is "lncRNA (ENSEASG00005035937.1)". The record is from RNAcentral. Lineage: Eukaryota; Metazoa; Chordata; Mammalia; Perissodactyla; Equidae.